CCUACGGGGGGCUGCAGUAAGGAAUAUUGCGCAAUGGGCGCCAGCCUGACGCAGCGACGCCGCGUGGGGGAUGAAGGUCUUCGGAUUGUAAACCCCUUUCGGCAGGGAAGAUGGAACGGGUAACCGUUCGGACGGUACCUGCAGAAGCAGCCACGGCUAACUUCGUUCCAGCAGCCGCGGUAAUACGAAGGUGGCAAGCGUUGUUCGGAUUUACUGGGCGGGCGGGUAGGGGAGGCGGUAGGGUCACCGUGAAAUCUCCGGGCCUAACCCGGAAAGUGCGGAGGGGACUGCUCGGCUAGAGGAUGGGAGAGGAGCGCGGAAUUCCCGGUGUAGCGGUGAAAUGCGUAGAGAUCGGGAGGAAGGCCGGUGGCGAAGGCGGCGCUCUGGAACAUUUCUGACGCUGAGGCUCGAAAGCGUGGGGAGCAAACAGGAUUAGAUACCCCAGUAGUC
Molecule: ribosomal RNA, 450 nt
Filed under: uncultured bacterium
Lineage: Bacteria
Description: partial 16S ribosomal RNA
Rfam family: Bacterial small subunit ribosomal RNA
Source: RNAcentral